RNAcentral lists this unclassified non-coding RNA (401 nucleotides) under fungal sp. Its description in RNAcentral is "partial internal transcribed spacer region". Lineage: Eukaryota; Fungi. The record is from RNAcentral.
AAGUCGUAACAAGGUUUCCGUAGGUGCCGGUCGGUGAGCGACCUCUAGCAAUCGUUGAGGCGAGAUCCUUAGACAAUCAAUGACACUUUCAGACACUGACUGCUUCGGGAUGCCAUGCAGCUAUCUCCGCUCAAUCGUAACUGUAACUUCUCAUUUGUCAGAAGUCCCGAAUCAAAAGCUGUUCGACAAUGAUUUACCGGGAUUGCUGGAUCGCACUGGGCUACGAGAGCAGGUUUGAAUGUUCACAGGGGGGUUUUUUACGUUGGAUACGUGGUAAUGAUCCUUCCGCAGGUUCAGGGUCCCCACGCCCCUUUACAAUCCGAUUACCUCUGUGAGUCUAGGCGGACGCACUAGGCUAAAAAAACCUCGAACAACUGUUAACAAUGGAUAUCUUGGUUCUC